This is a non-coding RNA of Ailuropoda melanoleuca (giant panda), 46 nucleotides long. The record is from Rfam. Lineage: Eukaryota; Metazoa; Chordata; Mammalia; Carnivora; Ursidae.
CCUAAGGCUUUAAUCAAAGCCAUAGUUUUAAAAAUAAAUAACCUGG